CAGUCGCCACGGGAAUACGAAGGGUGCAAGCGUUACUCGGAAUUACUGGGCGUAAAGCGUGCGUAGGUGGUGGUUUAAGUCCGUUGUGAAAGCCCUGGGCUCAACCUGGGAAUUGCAGUGGAUACUGGGUCACUAGAGUGUGGUAGAGGAUAGUGGAACUUCCGGUGUAGCAGUGAAAUGCGUAGAGAUCGGAAGGAACAUCUGUGGCGAAGGCGACUAUCUGGGCCAACACUGACACUGAGGCACGAAAGCGUGGGGAGCAAACAGGAUUAGAUACCCGCGUAGUCCCUGUCUCUUAUAC
Molecule: ribosomal RNA, 301 nt
Filed under: uncultured bacterium
Lineage: Bacteria
Description: partial 16S ribosomal RNA
Rfam family: Bacterial small subunit ribosomal RNA
Source: RNAcentral